RNAcentral lists this microRNA precursor (112 nucleotides) under Nelumbo nucifera (sacred lotus). Lineage: Eukaryota; Viridiplantae; Streptophyta; Magnoliopsida; Proteales; Nelumbonaceae. The record is from RNAcentral.
AGAGUGGAAUGCAGCCAAGAAUGACUUGCCGGCUGCAUAGAGCAACAGAUGGGUUUAUCUGAAAUGAAUUGCCUGUGGUUGGCAGGUUGUUCUUGGCUACAUUUUACUGUCU